CGCCUCACCGCGCCCCUCCCGACACCGCCGUGCGCCGCCCGUCCCCGACAAUGCCACCUCCUGCCCCGCCCCGCCUCGCACCCCCUGCCGCCUCCACCUCCCACCCCGCCCCGCCGCGCGCCGCCCCUUGAACUUCGUCGACGGCCGAAUCCAGGAUAGCAGCGGCGGGACCUUGCAAGGCGUCGGGGGUUCUCGGGGGCGGCACCAUGGUUGCUCUGGCGUGCUGCUGGAAGAAAAGGAGGGAGGACGAGGGAGAGGGAGAGAGAAAACUGGGAGGAAGGAGAGAAACGAGGGUAGGCACGGGCUCCCAGGGGGAGAUGGACGAGGACGAGGACGGUCUGGUGCGCUGCUGGUGCAGGGAGGGCAGCUGCUAAUUUCAUGUGGAGGAGACGCAGGGGCGGACGGCGAGCGAAUUGAAUCUGGACAUUCACCCAGGGAAGCAACAUAUAUCUUCUGAUCUUUGUCUUGCCUCCGGUGCAAUUUCAGUUUGUCCAGUAGUGCUCUUGACAAAUUUCUAGAAUGAAGAAUGAAAUACUUGGAGAUAGGCCACCAAUUCGGUGUUGAACUCAGGUUUACACAUUGGUGCACAUGAUGUGUCAAUCAAACAUACUAUAGCCCUCAUAUAAUGGCUACUGCUGUUUGCAAAGUAAGAAUCGAAUGAUGCAAAGAGAUUUAUGUUGUAGAAGAACUUACAAGGUAGUCUCUGAAGCCCUUUCAUUGGAAUUUGACGAAAUUCACAACCACAUAGGUCACACACAAUUUAAGCCUCCAUGGUAUUAAAUAUGCCAUGUCUGUCGGUCCUCUGUUUAGAAAUGUUUUAGUCACAUAUUCUUAUGUAUUACGGUAUGACAAAAUUAGAACUUCAGGCCGUUGUUAACCGUGUUUCUCCUUUGUUGGUCUUCUCUUAAUUUGUUUGUUUGCUUCAGGAUGCCCCUAAUUUUCUAACAAAUGCAUGUGAGUAAAGAUUACAAUGGCUCAAAUAGCAUGUAGAUUUAAUAAACCGAAUAAUUGAUUGUUGGUGUUGUUUUACUGAUUAGCUUAGAAGCAGAGACUUAGCAUGGGGGACUGCCGCUUGAAGAGAUGCAAAUGUUGCAACUUCACCAGAGGUUCUAUGUUGGAAGUUGUGUGUGUCGGUGGUUCAAGUUCACAAGGAUUGGCACCAUGGACUGGAGAAUUGUCGCAAACAACAUGGACACACCAGGGGCAGGGGCUGCAUGCUGCCAAGUCCAAGGCGACUGCCAAGAAGACUGGGCUCGAUGUAGUGACCGAGGAGGCGCAGGCCGCAGGAAACAGAGAAGCUGAUUAUUCUGUUUGCACGACGGGUAUCCCAAAUUCUAAUUCAAACAUUAGUGAUGAUAUAACAAUGUCGUCUGCCAAAUUGUGAUUCGGGCGAGCCUAGCUUAGCUGGGAACCACCGGAGAUUGUGUGGUGCACGGGAGACAGAGGCUCCACCGGAUAUUUUGUCGUGCCCACUAACAACAAUGACAUGGAUAGUGAAGUCAUUGCUGGACAUGAUUGCACUAUUUGUAAUUUGUUGGGUAGUCCUAUUUGGUGGAUUGUAUCUUCAAUAUAUCCGAUCUUUCUCUACAAGGAGCCUACAGUUUGUAAUGUUGUAUUUCUAAAGAAACCCUGGCAUCAGUUGAAAUUGUUAUCUUAAUCCGCUGAAAAAUAUGUAAUCUUGUUUUUGUCUUGAUGAUAUGAAGAGGAUGGAUGUAUUGUUGUGGCAUCUUAAAAUUAAUAGUGAUCUCGAAGUUUUCUUA
Molecule: non-coding RNA, 1760 nt
Organism: Triticum urartu
Lineage: Eukaryota; Viridiplantae; Streptophyta; Magnoliopsida; Poales; Poaceae
Source: RefSeq, a predicted model, not a curated record